This 433-nucleotide ribosomal RNA is filed under the name uncultured bacterium. RNAcentral describes it as "partial 16S ribosomal RNA". It matches the Rfam family "Bacterial small subunit ribosomal RNA", at positions 28 to 507 of the family's 1533-position model. The record is from RNAcentral.
GACGAACGCUGGCGGCAGGCCUAACACAUGCAAGUCGAGCGGACCUUUCGGGGUCAGCGGCGGACGGGUGAGUAACGCGUGGGAAUAUGCCCUUCUCUACGGAAUAGUCCUGGGAAACUGGGGGUAAUACCGUAUACGCCCUUUGGGGGAAAGAUUUAUCGGGGAAGGAUUAGCCCGCGUUGGAUUAGGUAGUUGGUGGGGUAAUGGCCUACCAAGCCGACGAUCCAUAGCUGGUUUGAGAGGAUGAUCAGCCACACUGGGACUGAGACACGGCCCAGACUCCUACGGGAGGCAGCAGUGGGGAAUCUUAGACAAUGGGGGCAACCCUGAUCGAGCCAUGCCGCGUGAGUGAUGAAGGCCUUAGGGUUGUAAAGCUCUUUCAGCUGGGAAGAUAAUGACGGUACCAGCAGAAGAAGCCCCGGCUAACUCCGUG